GACGAACGCUGGCGGCGUGCUUAAUACAUGCAAGUCGAACGGAAAGGCCCUGUGCUUGUGGAGUGCUCGAGUGGCGAACAGGUGAGUAAAACGCGAGUAACACGUCCUCGACUUAGGGGUAACACCAGGAAACACGGGCUCAUACCGGACAGGAUCCCCUGCUGCACGGUGGCGGUAGGCAAGAGUCGGCGGUUGGGGAUGGACGUGCGGCUUAUCAGCUUGUUGGUGGGGUAGUGGCUUACCAAGGCUUUGACGGGUAGCCGGCCUGAGAAGGGGACCGGCCACAUUAGGACUAAGAGACGGCCCAGACUCCUACGGGCGGCAGUAGGCGAGAAUAUUGUGCAGUGAGCGCAAGUCUAAUGCAGCAGCGCCGCGUGCGGGAUGACGGGCUUCGGGAUAUAAACCGGUUUCGCCUGUGACGAAGUGUGAUUGACGGUAAUGGGUAAAGAAGCCCCGGCUAACUACGUG
Molecule: ribosomal RNA, 468 nt
Filed under: uncultured bacterium
Lineage: Bacteria
Description: partial 16S ribosomal RNA
Rfam family: Bacterial small subunit ribosomal RNA
Source: RNAcentral